AUGCCUAUAGGAUCCGAUAAUGACGCAUUCGAGGAUGACGAGGAAGCUAGCAUGACGUCUUUUAUAUCUGGCGAGGUUGAUCCAUUAGACUGUGUGUACACAAACAUACCAGACCACACCCACAUCCUGAAGCUCGACACAAACUGCAAACACUGCAAGGCCAUAAAGUUUGUUUCUGAGACUGACGGAUUCUGCUGUCGCAAUGGACAGAUCGAGCUUAAACAAUCGGAACCAAUCCCAGAGCUUAUGAGGCUAUGGUCCAGCAUGGAUGCAGAUUCCAGACAUUUUCGUGAGAACAUACGGUUCUUCAAUUGGCAUUUCGCCUUCACAACCCUUGGCGUCAGCCUUGAUGAGAACUACACGAACAUGAAGUCUGGGGUAUACACAUUCCGGGUACACGGAACCAUCUAU
This 411-nucleotide ribosomal RNA is filed under the name Triticum aestivum (bread wheat). RNAcentral's name for it is "partial small subunit ribosomal RNA". Lineage: Eukaryota; Viridiplantae; Streptophyta; Magnoliopsida; Poales; Poaceae. The record is from RNAcentral.